Molecule: ribosomal RNA, 461 nt
Filed under: uncultured bacterium
Lineage: Bacteria
Description: bacterial SSU rRNA
Rfam family: Bacterial small subunit ribosomal RNA
Source: RNAcentral
CAAGCGGUGGAUGAUGUGGAUUAAUUCGAUGCAACGCGAAAAACCUUACCUACCCUUGACAUGUACGGAAGGCCGAAGAGAUUUGGCUGUGCUCGAAAGAGAACCGUAACACAGGUGCUGCAUGGCUGUCGUCAGCUCGUGUCGUGAGAUGUUGGGUUAAGUCCCGCAACGAGCGCAACCCUUGUCAUUAGUUGCUACGAAAGGGCACUCUAAUGAGACUGCCGGUGACAAACCGGAGGAAGGUGGGGAUGACGUCAAGUCCUCAUGGCCCUUAUGGGUAGGGCUUCACACGUCAUACAAUGGUACAUACAGAGCGCCGCCAACCCGCGAGGGGGAGCUAAUCGCAGAAAGUGUAUCGUAGUCCGGAUUGUAGUCUGCAACUCGACUACAUGAAGUUGGAAUCGCUAGUAAUCGCGGAUCAGCAUGUCGCGGUGAAUACGUUCCCGGGUCUUGUACACACC